Long non-coding RNA from Meriones unguiculatus (Mongolian gerbil), 1808 nucleotides. RefSeq lists it as uncharacterized. The record is from RefSeq and is a predicted model, not a curated record. Lineage: Eukaryota; Metazoa; Chordata; Mammalia; Rodentia; Muridae. The transcript has 3 exons.
UUCAUAUGCCUCCGUGUGUCCCGUAACCUGGAGCUUCUUCGUCACGAAGAGGGGCUGGUCCAGCUAGCUCCUGGGUCCUGACAGGAUUUAGCACCCCAAGACUGACCGGGGGAUGCUCAGCCUUGGUCAAGAGCCUUGAACAAUGCUGUUCAUCUGUACCAGCUGCCACCCCACACGCUCCGGCCCUCUCUCCUGGCUCUCAGGGCGGGAUGCUCCUGUUUGCACCUGAGAGGUUUACAACCUUAGCAGAGGAAACUGCGGAAGUCCCAGAGGGAAGUCGCACCCACCUGGGGCCUUGAGGAAGAUGCAGCUGGGUUCAGAGAAGAGGCUGUACUUGGGGACAGUGAAGGUGUAGACCGUUCGGGCGCUGAGGCAGUGGUGCCCGUGAGCUCUGUGCUGGAGAGGAAUCUGCACUGGCUGGCCGUGUGGAAUGUCAGGAAACAGGGUCUGUUGGGAGAAGCAAGGCUGCAAAGGGCACACGCAGAGCGGAUGGGUACGCGCGGCGGGGUGGGGGCGGGGCAGCUUUCAUGUCUCCUCCUUGUACAGAGCAUUGGUGUUCCAAAGCAGCCUGCUACUUGGGGUCACUCCUGUGUAGCUCACCAAGGCCUGGGAGGGUCCCCACUUCAAGAGGGGUUUCUACAGGCCUCUAGUUCGGGUCUCCGAGCCCACAGGAGACAAUGGUCACUCAAUCACUGCAAGCUUGGAAGCUGCCUCAGCUGCCCGGUGCAGUACAGGGCAGGGGCAGGCGGCUAGUACGAAUGGAGACCUGCCCCGAGGACAAAAGGCCUAUCAGUUUCCAAGGACAGAGGAGAAAAAGACAGCAGAGCAGCUCACAGUCCUAUUCUUCCCAUGCUGACAGGGUGAUAUGCUAUGGGAGAAAAGACAGCAAGAUCCCUAGUUCAGACCCAAUAAAAUAAAAUUAAAUAAAAUAAUAAAAUAAAAAAUAAAAUAAAAUAAAAAAUAAAAUAACACCUAUAAUACCAACACUUCCGAGGCAGGAGGGUCAGGGGUUCAAGGGUUUAAGGCCAGCCUGGGCUACAGGAAGUCCUAUCUCAACUACCUCCCCUCCCCCUAAACCUAUUCACCUUUAGCUUAGUGAGGAACAUUUUAUGUGACUUGGGGUCAGAGUAAAACCCCUUGCUGCCAAACCCGAUGACCUGAGUUCAAUCCCUAAGAACCAGGAAGUGGAAGAAGGCGAGAACCAACUUCUAAAGUUGUCCUCUGACCUCCAGACACAUGCCGUGGCCUACGUGCCCGCCACAGAAUCACACCCAAAGUAAACAUGUGCAAUUAAAACAAAUUAAAUGACAUAUGUGGCUCGUAUUAUGUUAGGAUAUUCAUUUUUUUUAUUGACUUACAAAAAUCAUACAUAUUUAAUCCCGAGCAUGGUGGCCCGUGCCUAUAACCCCAGCAUUCAUUCAUUCAGGAGCCUGAGGCAGGAGGACUGAGUUUGGGCUAACCUGGACUGCAUAAAGAGACCCAGACUUGAACAAAUGUAUGUGUUUUUGGGGUAUGGUGUGAUAUGUUAAUAUUCAUGAGACUCUAGAGGGCGGAAGCACUUUCCAUCCGCAUCUUUCAGACCACAGGUGGUGAGUAAGAGCCACUGAAGAGUGAGUAAGGGUCCCUGCUAUGCCGGUCCCACCCCACCGCCCACUUUCAUAAACGGGAACCCCGCAAGACCCACUUUCCGCCAUAUUGUCUCCAAGCGGCUACUUCUGAGUUACAGCUGCAGCACUCAGACCCUGGGGCCGCCUCGGCAAACGUGUUGGUGGUUUUCUAAUCUGUCAUAAAACUGGAUGUGCAAGGAA